GAUGAACGCUGGCGGCGUGCCUAAUACAUGCCAGUCGAGCGAACGGACGAGAAGCUUGCUUCUCUGAUGUUAGCGGCGGACGGGUGAGUAACACGUGGAUAACCUACCUAUAAGACUGGGAUAACUUCGGGAAACCGGAGCUAAUACCGGAUAAUAUUUUGAACCGCAUGGUUCAAAAGUGAAAGACGGUCUUGCUGUCACUUAUAGAUGGAUCCGCGCUGCAUUAGCUAGUUGGUAAGGUAACGGCUUACCAAGGCAACGAUGCAUAGCCGACCUGAGAGGGUGAUCGGCCACACUGGAACUGGGACACGGUCCAGACUCCUAAGGGAGGCAGCAGUAGGGAAUCUUCCGCAAUUGGCGAAAGCCUGACGGAGCAACGCCGCGUGAGUGAUGAAGGUCUUCGGAUCGUAAAACUCUGUUAUUAGGGAAGAACAUAUGUGUAAGUAACUGUGCACAUCUUGACGGUACCUAAUCAGAAAGCCACGGCUAACUACGUG
RNAcentral lists this ribosomal RNA (497 nucleotides) under uncultured bacterium. Its description in RNAcentral is "partial 16S ribosomal RNA". It matches the Rfam family "Bacterial small subunit ribosomal RNA", at positions 28 to 507 of the family's 1533-position model. The record is from RNAcentral.